This 314-nucleotide unclassified non-coding RNA is filed under the name Hevea brasiliensis (rubber tree). Lineage: Eukaryota; Viridiplantae; Streptophyta; Magnoliopsida; Malpighiales; Euphorbiaceae. The record is from RNAcentral.
CGGCAAUGCAUAAUUUCUUCAAGGAGAAGUUCAAGUUCCUUGUUACUGAUACGGUUGAUGGACCUGAUGCUUCAUCUAAAUGUAUUCGGGUGAGAUUGAAUCCUGGAGGACAUAACAAUGGAGGUAGAAAUUCCAAGAAACGGAAGGACAGAAGUGGUAAGCCCUUUGAUAGCCGAGGUUCAUAUCAUUGGCCAGAGCACCUUGGCAAGUUUCUCAGGUUUCACCUCUACAAGGAGAAUAAAGAUACACAGGAAGCCAUAGGAUUAAUAGGAAAGAUGCUUGGCAUUCAGCCAAGAUCUUUUGGGUUUGCGGGC